Molecule: ribosomal RNA, 569 nt
Filed under: uncultured bacterium
Lineage: Bacteria
Description: bacterial SSU rRNA
Rfam family: Bacterial small subunit ribosomal RNA
Source: RNAcentral
ACGGGUGAGUAACACGUAAGUAAUCUGCCUUUAAGACUGGGAUAACCUUGCCAACGCGGGGCUAAUACCGGAUGUGGUCAGUUAGGCGCAUGCCAGAUUGAUUAAAGGAGUGAUCCACUUAAAGAUGAACUUGCGGCCCAUUAGCUUGUUGGCGGGGUAACGGCCCACCAAGGCUGCGAUGGGUAGCCGGCCUGAGAGGGUGUACGGCCACAUUGGGACUGAGAUACGGCCCAGACUCCUACGGGAGGCAGCAGUAGGGAAUUUUGCGCAAUGGACGAAAGUCUGACGCAGCAACGCCGCGUGAGGGAUGAAGGCCUUCGGGUUGUAAACCUCUGUUGAAUGGGAAAAAAGGGUAGCAAUACUUUGAUGGUACCAUUUGAGGAAGCACCGGCUAACUACGUGCCAGCAGCCGCGGUAAUUCGUAGGGUGCAAGCGUUGUUCGGAAUCACUGGGCGUAAAGGGAGCGUAGGCGGGAUCGUAAGUUAGGAGUUUAAUACAUGGGCUUAACCCGUGGCUGGCUUUUAAUACUGCGGUUCUUGAGUAUGGGAGAGGGCGAUGGAAUUCCAGGU